CUGCUCCUGCUGCCCCUCCCAGGGCUCCGGGCGGCCGUGACCCUGUGGGAGUGCGGGGGGGACCUCCAGACCCCCGGGAGGUCCCUGCGCCUCCUCUGCCGAGGGUCCGGGUUCGAUUUUGGACAAUUUGGGAUGGGCUGGAUGCGCCAGAGACCCGGGCAGGGGCUGGAGUUGGUCGCGAGUGUCAACAACAAUGGAGGGUACACCGGGUAUGCGCCAUCAGUCCAGGGCCGGGUCACGAUCUCCAGGGACAAUGGGCAGAGCUCGGUGACGCUGACCAUGAACAACCUCAAGGACCAGGAUUCCGGAUAUUAUUUCGGUGGGAAAUCUGCUAAUGCUGGUUGGCCUGCUGCUGCUACUCAUAUUGACCAUGCCAGUUUUGGCAUCACCCCUGUCUGA
Melozone crissalis (California towhee) is the source of this 399-nucleotide non-coding RNA. NCBI's taxonomy places the organism in Eukaryota, Metazoa, Chordata, Aves, Passeriformes, Passerellidae. The record is from the annotation of a RefSeq genome assembly.